RNAcentral lists this ribosomal RNA (1306 nucleotides) under uncultured bacterium. RNAcentral describes it as "bacterial SSU rRNA". It matches the Rfam family "Bacterial small subunit ribosomal RNA", at positions 28 to 1381 of the family's 1533-position model. The record is from RNAcentral.
AACGUACGCUGGCGGCACGCCUAACACAUGCAAGUCGAACGAAGUAGCAAUACUUAGUGGCAGACGGGUGAGUAACAUGUAGGUAUCUGCCCUUUGGCCUGGAAUAACACGAGGAAACUUGUGCUAAUACCGGAUAAGUCUUUACGGAGAAAGCUUUAUGCACCAUUGGAUGAGCCUGCAUUUGAUUAGUUUGUUGGUGGGGUAAUGGCCUACCAAGACUGUGAUCAAUAGCUGAUUUGAGAGGAUGAUCAGCCACAUUGGGACUGAGACACGGCCCAAACUCCUACGGGAGGCAGCAGUGGGGAAUCUUGCACAAUGGAGGAAACUCUGAUGCAGCGAUGCCGCGUGAGUGAAGAAGGCCCUUGGGUUGUAAAGCUCUUUCGUCGGGGAAGAAAAUGACUGUACCCGAAUAAGAAGGUCCGGCUAACUUCGUGCCAGCAGCCGCGGUAAUACGAAGGGACCUAGCGUAGUUCGGAAUUACUGGGCUUAAAGAGUUCGUAGGUGGUUGAAAAAGUUAGUGGUGAAAUCCCAGAGCUUAACUCUGGAACUGCCAUUAAAACUUUUCAGCUAGAGUAUGAUAGAGGAAAGCAGAAUUUCUAGUGUAGAGGUGAAAUUCGUAGAUAUUAGAAAGAAUACCAAUUGCGAAGGCAGCUUUCUGGAUCAUUACUGACACUGAGGAACGAAAGCAUGGGUAGCGAAGAGGAUUAGAUACCCUCGUAGUCCAUGCCGUAAACGAUGUGUGUUAGACGUUGGAAAUUUAUUUUCAGUGUCGCAGGGAAACCGAUAAACACACCGCCUGGGGAGUACGACCGCAAGGUUAAAACUCAAAUGAAUUGACGGGGACCCGCACAAGUAGUGGAGCAUGUGGUUUAAUUCGAAGAUACGCGCAGAACCUUACCAACACUUGACAUGUUCGUCGCGACUCUAAGAGAUUAGAGUUUUCGGUUCGGCCGGACGAAACACAGGUGCUGCAUGGCUGUCGUCAGCUCGUGUCGUGAGAUGUUGGGUUAAGUCCCGCAACGAGCGCAACCCUCACUUUUAGUUGCCAUCAUUAAGUUGGGCACUCUGAAAGAACUGCCAGUGAUAAGCUGGAGGAAGGUGGGGAUGACGUCAAGUCCUCAUGGCCCUUACGUGUUGGGCUACACACGUGCUACAAUGGUAUCUACAACAGGAAGCAAGACUGCGAAGUUAAGCAAAUCCCUAAAAGAUACCUCAGUUCGGAUUGCACUCUGCAACUCGAGUGCAUGAAGCUGGAAUUACUAGUAAUCGUGGAUCAGCGUGCCACGGUGAAUGCGUUCCCGGGUCU